RNAcentral lists this transfer RNA (71 nucleotides) under Ophidion marginatum (striped cusk-eel). RNAcentral describes it as "tRNA-Thr". It matches the Rfam family "tRNA". From Rfam's summary of the family: Transfer RNA (tRNA) molecules are approximately 80 nucleotides in length. Their secondary structure includes four short double-helical elements and three loops (D, anti-codon, and T loops). Further hydrogen bonds mediate the characteristic L-shaped molecular structure. tRNAs have two regions of fundamental functional importance: the anti-codon, which is responsible for specific mRNA codon recognition, and the 3' end, to which the tRNAs corresponding amino acid is attached (by aminoacyl-tRNA synthetases). tRNAs cope with the degeneracy of the genetic code in two manners: having more than one tRNA (with a specific anti-codon) for a particular amino acid; and 'wobble' base-pairing, i.e. permitting non-standard base-pairing at the 3rd anti-codon position. Lineage: Eukaryota; Metazoa; Chordata; Actinopteri; Ophidiiformes; Ophidiidae. The record is from RNAcentral.
GCACUAAUAGCUCAGAUAGAGCACCGGUCUUGUAAACCGGAGGUCGGAGACUAAAACCUCUCCUUAGUGCU